Molecule: long non-coding RNA, 346 nt
Organism: Sebastes umbrosus (honeycomb rockfish)
Lineage: Eukaryota; Metazoa; Chordata; Actinopteri; Perciformes; Sebastidae
Exons: 2
Source: RefSeq, a predicted model, not a curated record
UGGUGGUUUGUCGUAGGCUUACAGUGUUUUAGUACUUUCCCAAAAAUAUAUUGUUAAAUAAGUGUUGUUCUGUUGAAUAAUAAUACACAUCUCCAGCCAUACCACCGUAUCACACCACUGUGAAACAAGAGGUCCUUAGCUGUAUUCCAAACCACCUACUGACCAACGAAGUAUACAGUAUACAUAGUAUGCAGUAUGAAACAGUUAAAGUGGUGUAUUUUGCAGUAUGCUAGACCAGGCUUUAGUCUUUAAACAAGCUCUUACAGCACUGGACAAAAAAAACGAACUCCUACACCUAUUGCAUUAUUAUCGAAAAAUACAACUUUGAUUUUCUUUGUUUGUGACC